RNAcentral lists this microRNA precursor (86 nucleotides) under Solanum tuberosum (potato). RNAcentral's name for it is "MIR8024 microRNA precursor family". It matches the Rfam family "MIR8024 microRNA precursor family". Lineage: Eukaryota; Viridiplantae; Streptophyta; Magnoliopsida; Solanales; Solanaceae. The record is from Rfam by way of RNAcentral.
UUGAAGAAUUUGAAGACCUCAACUUGCAAAUUUGAUUGAUUUGAAGACUUCAAUUUGCAGAGUUGAAGAAUUUGAAGACUUCAACU